UUUAAUUGUCAUUAGGUUUUCAUUGGAGUGGUAGUGUCGACAGAAAAUUAGUUUUUAUAACUUAAACAGGACGAAUAUGUUAGUCUUACUAACAACAAUACUAUUGCUCCUUUUAACAUGGUUUGUGGUCCGUUGGCAGCGAGUACGACGUUAUUGGGCAGAUAGGGGGGUACCUUAUUUACCACCACAUCCUGUUCUGGGAAGCCUGACGUUCUUGCAGAAGCAAAAUGCUGCUCUAUGGAUGCGGGAUGUAUACUUGCGUGUUCGCACUCCCU
Papilio polytes (common Mormon) is the source of this 275-nucleotide long non-coding RNA. RefSeq lists it as uncharacterized. The transcript is spliced from 3 exons. The record is from RefSeq and is a predicted model, not a curated record. NCBI's taxonomy places the organism in Eukaryota, Metazoa, Arthropoda, Insecta, Lepidoptera, Papilionidae.